Molecule: ribosomal RNA, 197 nt
Filed under: uncultured bacterium
Lineage: Bacteria
Description: partial 16S ribosomal RNA
Rfam family: Bacterial small subunit ribosomal RNA
Source: RNAcentral
ACGCUCGACACCUAUGGGAGGCAGCAGUGGGGAAUAUUGCACAAUGGGGAAACCCUGAUGCAGCGACGCCGCGUGAGCGAAGAAGUAUUUCGGUAUGUAAAGCUCUAUCAGCAGGGAAGAAACUGACGGUACCUGACUAAGAAGCACCGGCUAAAUACGUGCCAACAGCCGCGGUAAUCUGAGCGGGCUGGCAAGGC